UAAAGCGGGUGAAAAGCCCGCUCGCCGGAAGACCAAGGGUUCCUGUCCAACGUUAAUCGGGGCAGGGUGAGUCGACCCCUAAGGCGAGGCCGAAAGGCGUAGUCGAUGGGAAACAGGUUAAUAUUCCUGUACUUGGUGUUACUGCGAAGGGGGGACGGAGAAGGCUAUGUUGGCCGGGCGACGGUUGUCCCGGUUUAAGCGUGUAGGCUGGUUUUCCAGGCAAAUCCGGAAAAUCAAGGCUGAGGCGUGAUGACGAGGCACUACGGUGCUGAAGCAACAAAUGCCCUGCUUCCAGGAAAAGCCUCUAAGCAUCAGGUAACAUCAAAUCGUACCCCAAACCGACACAGGUGGUCAGGUAGAGAAUACCAAGGCGCUUGAGAGAACUCGGGUGAAGGAACUAGGCAAAAUGGUGCCGUAACUUCGGGAGAAGGC
This 432-nucleotide ribosomal RNA is filed under the name Escherichia coli. RNAcentral describes it as "bacterial LSU rRNA". It matches the Rfam family "Bacterial large subunit ribosomal RNA", at positions 1313 to 1747 of the family's 2925-position model. Lineage: Bacteria; Pseudomonadati; Pseudomonadota; Gammaproteobacteria; Enterobacterales; Enterobacteriaceae. The record is from RNAcentral.